Artibeus jamaicensis (Jamaican fruit-eating bat) is the source of this 646-nucleotide long non-coding RNA. RefSeq lists it as uncharacterized. Lineage: Eukaryota; Metazoa; Chordata; Mammalia; Chiroptera; Phyllostomidae. The record is from RefSeq and is a predicted model, not a curated record. The transcript is spliced from 4 exons.
AGACUGUUCCUAGCAUUCAGAGUUUGAUGAUCAGAUAUUAACUCCUGAAAGUGCAUCUGUUCCGUUCACCACCCCAAUUCUUCCCAAAGGCCACAGAUCCUGCUGUGGAAGCACUUCCUUUCCGAAACAUGACAGCCGAUCCCCAGUCCCAGUCCGAACGAAGCCAGCCAUACAUCUGCUGCGAGACUUCUGCACUGCGCUCUUUAAUACGAAUGUGCCAAAUACUUAACUAGGUCUCUCCAUUCUGUAGACACCUUUUGUACACAGAGGAGGACCCUGCAGUUAUAAGAAGGAGAACAUCCUGCUUUCUUUCUUGCCAAGAUCAAUUGCUGUAUCUUUGAUUGAUUUCCAGAAUUUUUAAGGAUGGCAAACCUGUUUCAACUUGUAAAUUAAGCUCUGUCCUUAGCAACCAUGAACUAUUAGUGCAUUGAUUUAUAGUGUUUUCUUAUAUUGAUGAUUUUUUAGCACACUGUUUCUCUUUAGGGAGACUUUUUCUGCAUCAGCACUAUGCAUUUUUAUGAGUUGAAAAAUUAUUCCAUUUCUUGAAAACAAAAGAGCGAAAAACAUAAACAAGGUUUUUUUCUGAAAAAUUGGUUAGGGAAUUAGUACAAGAUAAUGGUGCUAAUGCAUAUCUUGCUGCUGCCUC